Priapulus caudatus is the source of this 2954-nucleotide long non-coding RNA. RefSeq lists it as uncharacterized. The transcript is spliced from 2 exons. The record is from RefSeq and is a predicted model, not a curated record. NCBI's taxonomy places the organism in Eukaryota, Metazoa, Priapulida, Priapulimorpha, Priapulimorphida, Priapulidae.
UUCGCAGAUCUGUGCUUCAUCAGUUCGCUGCUGCUGUGUUCAUGCGUACAAAGACGUAUUUGUGAAUAGACGCGCGCGCCAGAUGACCAGAGCAAGUUCGCGUAGCUGCAUUUAGUAGGAGCGCUGCUGUUGCCGCAGGUGUUUCGCACAUGUUCGGCUAGAGUUUACCGAGCUUUGUCGUCGUCGACAAUUUGCUAGAGCGAUUGUUGUUGUGUAUUUACUCUGAAGUUCAGCAACGUGGAGGCAAGCAUCUCUCUGUGUGCGAAGCCAGCCUGCACACGCCCAGCGUCCACUUAUAACAUUGGUGUGUAAUUCUUCUCUGCCACGCUGGACUGCUAAUAGCCGUAAUUGGCUUUCCCGGUGACGUUGCUUCAGGAAAUAAAAAGCAUCUGUUUUCGUCGAGUUGCGCACAUUCGCUCAUCGGUCUCCCAGUCGCACAGCCAGCAUUCUUCAGACAGCAAGUGAGCCAAGCCUUCACGCGCGUACGUGUGGAUAGUAAAGAAUCUUACUAUUUAACAUACUAGUACGGCAUCAGUAAAGAAUCAUACUACUACGGCAUCAGUAAAGAAUAAUACUAUACUACAGCAUCAUCAUCCGAGUCUGUGAGGUAACCAUGGCAACGAGGCAGACCGUGCAGAUCAGCGAGGGUUCCUGUUGGAAGCUGUCCGCUGGAGGAGGCGCAAGACUGCAAGUAGUGAUGCUGGGAGGAUGCUGUUCGAACCCGGAUGCAAGGAAAAGGUCCGCUCUGAAACGAAGCGGCGACGCAGAGGUGAACAACGGCGAAAGCAUAUCUCACGAGGAGCAGGUAGAAGAGAGAGAGACCUCGCGAAAGCAGCUGCAACCCAAUGGCGAAGCUCAGGUGUUGAAGGCCUUUACAGGUGACGACGAGGUCUUCAUGAAGUCCAAGGAUAUCACUGCGAAAGAAGUCAACGAUGAAGCGAGCUGGAAGGUGGUUGCAUUAGACGAAGCCAAUUCGACCAUCUCUGCUGAGAAGGACCGCCGUGGACAUCCAUGAACAGAACUUUCGCUCUGCCGUGCUGUGCAACGAACAUUAAUGUACAUAAGUGUGAACUUAUAAUUAUAUUGUAGCGGUUUCAAGUUCCGAGUGUGUUUUAAUUAUUAUACGCAUUUAUUAUAGUAUAAUUAUAACUCAUUUCUUGCAGACAUGAAGAUAUUGAACAUAUAUAAAUUAAUUUACGAGUAAGCUCCACGCGAUUACAUUUUAAUAAUGUAAACAAAUUCUUCUUUUUUGUCGUGUGUGAAUAUUUUCGUAUUCUGUACUGCGAUUCCCCCGCAAUAUGAAUACGCGUGUAUUUACUCGGCCGUAAUAUAUAUAUAUAUAUAUAUAUAUAUAUAUAUAUAUAUAUAUAUAUAUAUAUAUAUAUAUAUAUAUAUAUAUAUAUAUAGGUCUCGUGAAAUGAAGUAUAUCGGUUAGAAAUAGUUUUUGCUAUGCUCGCUUGACCAGUCAGUUGGGUGUGCGUGUGUCUGCGUGGUGUGUGGUCGGUCUUAGUAGGCUUCUGUUGCCUCGCUACUGCGUGCCUUGCUAUACUGCGUGCCGUCGAGGUCUGGAACUCGUUACCCGAUACAGCGCUGUCUAGUCUAUUCUGACGGACAGUCUCUGUCUCAUUGUGACAGCUGUAAAAUCUGGAGGGAGUACAGGCCACUAUGUUUCUUAUUUAGGGACAUUCCUCGUCCUCUGUGGCAUAGUUUCUAGCUUAUCCAUUGACGCUACACUCGCAUCGGCUGGAUGCAAACUACGUGAGAACAGGACCCAGCUAGGUGCAUGCUGCUCGUUUCUUGUCAUCUUAUCUCGUUAUAUCUUCUCGGCCUUUAAGAAAUGAAAGUGAAUCUGAAUCUGAAGCCAGGCUUGCCCGCGCGCGCGUGUGUAUGUGCGUCUUGUCGGCUGUUGUCGGCUGUAGUUUGCUUCCAGCUCACGCUGUGUGGCGCCACCAUGCUGUUGUACCAACAUCCUAUCGUCUAUGUUUGACACAUCCCAGGUAGCGUGCUAGGUGUUUAGCUAUAAUAAUAUAACUUUCGUCUGCAUAUCCAUUUAUCAUGUGGAUCAUCCCCGUGCGAAUAAUCCCAGCACGUAUUUUGCUAAACGUUUUUAUUGUUGAUAGAUGAAUAGUCAGCAAAAGGUUCUGCUCUGGCAGACUGAUAUCUAUAUUUGUCUCUAUAUAUAUAUAGUAUAUAUAUACAUUAUAUAUAUAAAAACAAAUUGGCUGAAAAUAUAUUAUUUUGGUAGUAGCCAACUCUAACGAUCAGUAGAAAAUCUUGGCAGACGUUGUUUGGUUAUUAUUAAUGUGCAUUUGUACCAACCGUAUAGAACAUGUAUAUAAACCUUCGCUUUAUUUUGACUGCUCUAGUACGAGAAUCGUUUAGCGCGCAUUCUCACAAAUGCUAUGUACGCUGUGUGGCCGCGUUGGCGCGUGUGAAUACGACGUAUAAAUAAAUACUCAGCAAAUAUUUAGCGUGGAGUCUGUACAUGUGAUUGAUGGCUUUCUGUAAGUCUAUGUAAUGGGUACUGUUAGCGAGUGCUUCCUAAUGGUAUUUGAGGUAGCAUAACCAUACAAAACUCAUUGACAAAUCCGUCUUAUAUUUUACACUAGGGCCUGUAUAAAUGGUUGGUAUUUGAGGUAGCAUAACCAUACAAAACUCAUUGACAAAUCCGUCUUAUAUUUUACACUAGGGCCUGUAUAAAUGGUUGGUAUUUGAGGUAGCAUAACCAUACAAAACUCAUUGACAUAUCCGUCUUAUAUUUUACACUAGGGACUGUAUAAAUGGUUGGUAUUUGAGGUAGCAUAACCAUACAAAAUUCACUGAUAUAUCCGUCUUCUAUAUUACACGAGUGACUGUAUAAAGGGCUGAAUUCACUAUAGUAAGACCAUGUAGCACCGUAAGACCAUGUAGCACCGAAAGACCAUGUAAAAUAAAAUGGACUGAUCAGAAGGGAA